UGGCAUCUCUGUACGCAAGACUUUUUCGUUCUUGUAUUUUUCGUGAUGUGCCACGGACUAUAAAUUUUUGUCGCGUUGCUGAAGGCAUUACAUAUUUACAGAAACUACAUUUUUCUAAUUCAUAUUCGCAGAUCUGUGCCGUAUUGAUUCUACUUAAUAAUUUUUUGCCCCAACCAAAGUAUCUAAAAACUUCAAGCCAACAACCCUACUCGCCCAAGAGGAUAUAAUUCUGUUCGUACACGCAAAAGUUGAAGCUUGUACAAUCAUUGUGUCUUCCCGAUUCGCACAAAUGUUGCACAGAAAUCGCACAAUAAAUGUGUGAAAUGCAUAACGCAACAGUUGUACUGCGAAUACAUUGACAUAGAAUGAAAUCAGAAUAUGUAUCAUAUACCGACACUUUAUUUCUCACGUCGAGUGUAUUAGUGACUGCUACUCAUGGAGCAGUGCAAGUAGCAAACAACAACUUGUGAACUCACUAGAUUUAAAUAGCUAUAAUACUCGAUCGAUUUAUCUCGAUGGAUUUGCAAAAAAAACGAAACAAAAUUCUGUUCACAACAUUUUGUUAUCAACGCUAGCUUCACCGCAAAACUAGAAAAACUCUUCAUUCCACAAAGUCACAAAAGCGUUGCCGAUUUUUAUGGCAACACUUGUAAAUUGUGAAUAAUUAUUAUUUGUCAUCCUUUGCACGCUUUUUUUUUUCAAGCGACGAGAGAAAUUUCUCUCUAUGCUAUGAUCAAGAAAAUUAAUGUUCAUGGAUUCGGGGCAAAUAGUUUGUUUCACCAUGUCAUUGAUAAGUUCAAGGACCUAGAAAUAAAUCCAUUAGAGUUUGCCACAUGUGAAGGCAACAAAAGGAUAAGAUUUGUAUUAACAAUAUUUCAAGAUUUUGCCGAAGACCAAAACAUCUUCUACAAUCCGACUGUGUAGAAUAUUUCAACGAUUUGAGAAAUGAGGAAAACUACAACCAAGAUGUUGCUAGGAACAGCCCUUCGGAAACAGGAGUAAAAGCUGAUUCAGUGUUUAACAUACUUCCAUCAUACCACACCAAAAACCUGUCAGUAGAUCCCAUGCACGACUUGUUUUGUGGUGGGGUUUGUGUUUCAGGAAUCGAAGAGAUUUAAAAUCACUGUACAAAUGCUUAAUGCUCAUAAGAACUUGUUCAGCAAGCAGGUAUAUAACACAUCUUUGAAACAAAUGCCAGAUAUCAAUGAAACGUAUUCAUCUAUCAGAAAAUCAAAAACGGUGACUAUCAGAGCCACUGCUAGCGAACUGAAGGCGUUUGUUCACUUUUUACGUUAAUAGUAGGCUCAUUUAUACCUGAAAAAGAUGAAGUGUGGAACUAUUGCAGAACAAUAAUCCAAAUGGUGGAUAUUAUUCUUUUGUCGACGUUGACCGAGAACCACAUUCAGCAAUUAAAAAAUUUAGUUGCAGCUCAUAAUACGCUAUACCAACGAUUAUUUGCACGGACGCUUAAACCAAAGCAUCAUUUCUUGACUCAUUACGGAGGGGUUGCAGAACAAAAUGGUGUUUUGGUGAGCAUGAUGAAUUUUCGUUACGAAGCAAAGCACAAAGUCUUCAAAGAAUACGCACAUGUUAUUUCAUCACGUCGUAACAUCUGUUACACAUUGUGCUUGAAAGCAGCGUUACAAUUUGCAUUCAAUUUACACAACGAAACGUUUUUCAAAUCUUCCAAAAACAACUACGUACCAUGUGUUUUGAUGAGUCGUUCCUUUAUAUCCCACGUAGCUAAGCAACUGCCCUUUGAUAAUACUCUUGAAAUCUUUACAGCAAAAAAGAUAAAACAUAUUGGCACUGAUUACCAACCAGGCAUGUUUUUAACAUUAACGAAAGGAGAUACAGUAAAACUUUUGGAAGUGAUAGAAUUUCUUUUAGCUGGAAGUAAUAUUUUCGUCGCAGGACAGCAAUGGAAAGUAGGCGAAUUCAACAACCAUUUCCUCGCAUUUGGAGCGAUAUCUAAAACGAAAAAUGUAAGCGUAGUUAAAUUAUGUAAUAUUGACGGCCCUCCUGUAUCUGUUCAUAAUAUUAUGAACAAGCUUUUAUUCCGUAAAAACUCUGAGAGUUUGUCCAUAGAAGACGAAGAUAAUUCAUAAAUAAAAUAAAUUAUAAUCUAUAAUAAAUGAAAAAUAAAAAUCA
Molecule: long non-coding RNA, 2151 nt
Organism: Wyeomyia smithii (pitcher-plant mosquito)
Lineage: Eukaryota; Metazoa; Arthropoda; Insecta; Diptera; Culicidae
Exons: 3
Source: RefSeq, a predicted model, not a curated record